UAUCCAAAUUCCCAAACUAACAUGGCCAUACUGGCUGGGAGUAAUAGUUGUGGAAACUAAGGUCCAAAACAUAACUUUUUCAAGUUUUGCAGGAAUGUAAACAAACAAACAAACAAACAACUGGUAAGGAAAUACCACAAAACAUUACAGUGUAUUCUCCUGUUGUUUGAUGUUGCACCCCUACUAAGCAAGAAGGGCUACAGGCUACACUGAUGACCUGCUCCCCCACCCCACUAACAGUAGCAAUUUCAGAAACAUUUUUCCAUGAGGCAGAGGAAAAAACAGCUGAAGCAAUUAGGUACUCAAUGAAUGUAAACUUAACUGAUUUUCUCUAACAGAUAUUGCAACAUAUGGAAUAUACCAAAUGGGAAAGAAGAGGAUUCAUUCUCUUCAUCGUAAAUAAAACUAGGAAGGGUGGAAGGAAGAACAAAGUGCCUCACACUUGCCCUCUGCCUCCAUUUCAGGGUCCAGUGAAAAGAGGAAAACUCCAUGGAACUGCCUUGAAUCUCUUCAGUGGGAGAACAGGACCAUCCAUCUGUUAG
This 542-nucleotide long non-coding RNA is filed under the name Pogona vitticeps (central bearded dragon). RNAcentral describes it as "lncRNA (ENSPVIG00000025624.1)". Lineage: Eukaryota; Metazoa; Chordata; Lepidosauria; Squamata; Agamidae. The record is from RNAcentral.